This 614-nucleotide ribosomal RNA is filed under the name Pichia kluyveri. RNAcentral describes it as "eukaryotic LSU rRNA". It matches the Rfam family "Eukaryotic large subunit ribosomal RNA", at positions 37 to 668 of the family's 3401-position model. Lineage: Eukaryota; Fungi; Ascomycota; Pichiomycetes; Pichiales; Pichiaceae. The record is from RNAcentral.
UGCAUAUCCAAUAAGCGGAGGAAAAGAAACCAACAGGGAUUGCCUCAGUAGCGGCGAGUGAAGCGGCAAGAGCUCAGAUUUGAAAUCUCACCUAGUGUGCGAGUUGUAAAUUGCAGGUUGGAGUCUCGGGUUAGACGUGUGUGCAAGUCCCUUGGAACAGGGUGCCACUGAGGGUGAGAGCCCCGUAUCGUGCAUGUCGACACCUGUGAGGCCCUUCUGACGAGUCGAGUUGUUUGGGAAUGCAGCUCUAAGUGGGUGGUAAAUUCCAUCUAAGGCUAAAUAUUGGCGAGAGACCGAUAGCGAACAAGUACUGUGAAGGAAAGAUGAAAAGCACUUUGAAAAGAGAGUGAAACAGCACGUGAAAUUGUUGAAAGGGAAGGGUAUUGGGCUCGACAUGGGAUUUACGCAUCGUUGCCUCUCGUGGGCGGCGCUCUGGGUUUUUCCUGGGCCAGCAUCGGUUUUCGUUGCAGGAUAAGGACAAUUGGAAUGUGGCUCCUCGGAGUGUUAUAGCCUUUUGUAGAUGCUGCGUAUGGGGACCGAGGGCUGCGGCGGACUCGUUUCGUCUCGGAUGCUGGCACAACGGCGCAAUACCGCCCGUCUUGAACACCGGACCA